RNAcentral lists this long non-coding RNA (822 nucleotides) under Bos indicus x Bos taurus (hybrid cattle). RNAcentral's name for it is "lncRNA (ENSBIXG00000010858.1)". Lineage: Eukaryota; Metazoa; Chordata; Mammalia; Artiodactyla; Bovidae. The record is from RNAcentral.
CAGUGAGUGGGAAGUCAGGUGGACCCAUGUUGUAAGAGAGGACGUGCUUCAUUGGGUCAUCCAUAGUCUACCUGGCUGUCUCCCCCAGAGAGAAGGCAUAUUCUCCAGGCCUCGGGUAUCAGCAGACAUGCAACUCUGCACAUCGAUCCAUCAUAGGAUUCAAGGGCAUCCACGUGGAGUCCACCAGCAAAUCACUGAGUGACAGAGUGGAGGCUGGCAGAGAAGCCUGCAGCCACCAGGACCCAUGCAAUGGAAAGUGGCCUGUGUGUUUCAUGACAUGGAGUUUCCUUUAGAAUCUUUGUGUGAAUUCAACAUUUUCAACUACAGAAGAGAGAGAAGGAAAGAAAAAAACAAGUGAGUUCAUUUUUCUCUUGGAUUUAGUAGAGGCAAGAGCCUCUUUUCAGCCUCACAAUCUCCUCUCCACCCAGGAGGAAGACACAUGUAUAUCAUGUUGCUGAGGUCAGGGAGGGGGUGAUUGUGAGGUUAGUAUUUCUCAAGAAAUGGAGUCAGUGUCCUCAGGCCCUUCCCUGGUCCCCAGGCCCUUCCUUGGUUCCCCAGGAUGACGUGAGCGGUUCCUCCCCGAUAUUCCACAUGCCUCUCCUUAUCACACUUACCAUAGCUGUGAUUUAAUAUUCAUAUGUGAGCGUAUUUGAUUGCCUUUUUGCUUCCUCAUAAUUCUUUAAGCUCCACAAUAACACGGACUGUGUUUGUGUGGAUUCAACAUUGAAUCCACGCAGGGCCCAACGAAAUUUCUGGACAGAAAAUAAGUGAUCAGUAAAUGUUUGUGAAAUGAAUAAAUGAUGGAAAUAAAAAGAAAGGACA